UACGUAGGGGGCAAGCGUUGUCCGGAAUCAUUGGGCGUAAAGAGCGUGUAGGCGGUUCGGUAAGUCCGCUGUAAAAGUCCAGGGUUCAACCCUGGAAAGCCGGUGGAAACUGUCGAACUAGAGUCCGGAAGAGGCGAGUGGAAUUCCUGGUGUAACGGUGAAAUGCGCAGAUAUCAGGAGGAACACCAAUGGCGAAGGCAGCUCGCUGGGACGGUACUGACGCUGAGACGCGAAAGCGUGGGGAGCAAACAGG
This 253-nucleotide ribosomal RNA is filed under the name uncultured bacterium. RNAcentral's name for it is "partial 16S ribosomal RNA". It matches the Rfam family "Bacterial small subunit ribosomal RNA", at positions 524 to 776 of the family's 1533-position model. The record is from RNAcentral.